RNAcentral lists this ribosomal RNA (253 nucleotides) under uncultured bacterium. Its description in RNAcentral is "partial 16S ribosomal RNA". It matches the Rfam family "Bacterial small subunit ribosomal RNA", at positions 524 to 776 of the family's 1533-position model. The record is from RNAcentral.
UACGUAGGGUGCAAGCGUUAAUCGGAAUUACUGGGCGUAAAGCGUGCGCAGGCGGCUUUGCAAGACAGAUGUGAAAUCCCCGGGCUCAACCUGGGAACUGCAUUUGUGACUGCAAGGCUGGAGUACGGUAGAGGGGGAUGGAAUUCCGCGUGUAGCAGUGUAAUGCGUAGAUAUGCGGAGGAACACCGAUGGCGAAGGCAAUCCCCUGGGCCUGUACUGACGCUCAUGCACGAAAGCGUGGGGAGCAAACAGG